AUGAGUCGAAUUUGAGUAGCUACGAAUUGCUCAACUCAUUUGCACUUUUAGAUCGAUCAUUUUUUAUUUAUCUUGAUAAUAAAUAUUUCUUAUAUCAUAUUUUGGGAUAUUGUACGGCGUUGGGCUUUUGAAUUUGAAUUUGGCCUUCUUUUGGCCAUAGGCAUCGUAGCUUUAUGUCAAGUCUAUCCUUUUCUAUUUGUA
Molecule: long non-coding RNA, 201 nt
Filed under: Elaeis guineensis (African oil palm)
Lineage: Eukaryota; Viridiplantae; Streptophyta; Magnoliopsida; Arecales; Arecaceae
Description: long non-coding RNA (EGUI_LNC051368)
Source: RNAcentral